RNAcentral lists this ribosomal RNA (253 nucleotides) under uncultured bacterium. RNAcentral describes it as "partial 16S ribosomal RNA". It matches the Rfam family "Bacterial small subunit ribosomal RNA", at positions 524 to 776 of the family's 1533-position model. The record is from RNAcentral.
UACGUAGGGUGCAAGCGUUAAUCGGAAUUACUGGGCGUAAAGCGUGCGCAGGCGGUUCGUUGUGUCCGUCGUGAAAGCCCCGGGCUUAACCUGGGAACUGCGAUGGAAACUAGCGAGCUGGAGUGUGGCAGAGGGGGGUGGAAUUCCGCGUGUAGCAGUGAAAUGCGUAGAGAUGCGGCGGAACACCGAUGGCGAAGGCAGCCCCCUGGGCUUAAAUUGACGCUGAGGCACGAAAGCGUGGGGAGCAAACAGG